AGAGUUUGAUCCUGGCUCAGAUUGAACGCUGGCGGCAGGCCUAACACAUGCAAGUCGAACGGUAGCACAGAGAGCUUGCUCUCGGGUGACGAGUGGCGGACGGGUGAGUAAUGUCUGGGAAACUGCCUGAUGGAGGGGGAUAACUACUGGAAACGGUAGCUAAUACCGCAUAACGUCGCAAGGCCAAAGAGGGGGACCUUCGGGCCCCUUGCCAUCAGAUGUGCCCAGAUGGGAUUAGCUAGUAGGUGGGGUAACGGCUCACCUAGGCGACGAUCCCUAGCUGGUCUGAGAGGAUGACCAGCCACACUGGAACUGAGACACGGUCCAGACUCCUACGGGAGGCAGCAGUGGGGAAUAUUGCACAAUGGGCGCAAGCCUGAUGCAGCCAUGCCGCGUGUAUGAAGAAGGCCUUCGGGUUGUAAAGUACUUUCAGCGAGGAGGAAGGCGAUACGGUUAAUAACCGUGUCGAUUGACGUUACUCGCAGAAGAAGCACCGGCUAACUCCGUGCCAGCAGCCGCGGCAAUACGGAGGGUGCAAGCGUUAAUCGGAAUUACUGGGCGUAAAGCGCACGCA
RNAcentral lists this ribosomal RNA (574 nucleotides) under uncultured bacterium. RNAcentral's name for it is "bacterial SSU rRNA". It matches the Rfam family "Bacterial small subunit ribosomal RNA", at positions 8 to 573 of the family's 1533-position model. The record is from RNAcentral.